Oryza glumipatula is the source of this 196-nucleotide non-coding RNA. Lineage: Eukaryota; Viridiplantae; Streptophyta; Magnoliopsida; Poales; Poaceae. The record is from Rfam.
UUUAAGUGCAACUAUAAGUUUCCGCACUCAACUUUAAUCGUUCGUCUUAUUUAAAAUUAUUUUAUAAUUAGUAUUUUUGUUGUUAUAAGAUGAUAAAAUAUUAAUAGUACUUUACUCGUGACUUACGUUUUUAAAUUUUUUUUCAAAUAAGAUGAACGGUUAAAGUUGGGCACGAAAAACCAUAGCUGCACUUAAA